UUCUCUAAACAAAUUUACCAUUUUAAACCUGUUUUCAGUUUCUUGUUGUCAAAAGAUGACUACACAAAUUAAGAAAAAAAGGCAAAAUGUAAGCCCCGCCCACCGCCCCUGUCUCAAUUGUGAUGAUUUUUUUGUUCGUCGUGAGCCCAGAGGGCGGAGCUUAACUGCAAAAUCCUUAUGUCUCUACGAAAAAUGAAUAACAUAUUUUUGAGUAUCGUGUUGUUCAAAGAAUACCAUAUAUAUUAUGAAAAAAACAAGGCAAAAAUUAAGCCUCACCCAUAGCUAUCCCAAGCUUAACUGUGAUGAAUGUUUAUCAAUAAUUUUUAUUUGUUUAUCAUUUUUUGCCAUCAACAUAUCCUUAACAAACCAACGUAAAAACGCAAAAUACCCCAGAUGUCACAUAUAACCAUAUAACAAUUGACCAGUAAAGUAAGGUUAGAAUUUAGAAUGCGCGGCAGUUCAUAAUUCAAAAAUUCUACUAUGGGUUUCUUAUGGGAGCUUGAUUUUACAGACAAAAUACGCCGCAUAGGUAGAAAUCUUAACUAGUUCAUGCUACAAGCGAUAAAGACUGUACAAUUAUCUUCCUGUUACUAAAGGUUUAACUAUAUAAAAAGCUUCUGUUAAAGAUAUAUUGCAAAUUAAAAACAACGCUAUCCAUCGAAGUAACGUACAUCGUUUCUAACGUCUUGCGCAUGAGUGAAACGGAAAAUCCAGAAACACUUGGGAAAGAAAAAGAACGCGAAUAUUUUGCGGUACUAGUGACGUUUAGAUCGUGAAAAUCCCCAAAAUAUGACAGUUGAUUUCGUAUUUUCAUCACAACAAACAAUCAUAAUCACAAUUUUUGGAUGAUAUAUUAGUUCUGUGAUAUUGAUUCACAUUGGGCUGUAUGUAUCUGUGGACUGGUUUUUUUGUAUUUGUUAUUAAUAAUGACAGAAAGACAUGUGUUAACAAUAGGGGCAAUUGCCAUUUUUUUUGUUGGAGAAAAUUCUUUACAGUCAAAUAAUGUAGCGAAAGUCAAUUGGUAUACUGAAUUAAAUGUGCUUGAAGAGUUUAUUCGAGCUAGAAUGCGAGAAGAUUAUGAUAUUCCUUACGAGAGGCAACAUGUGAAACCCCAAGAGGUGCAUUUGUAUAUCAUCAUAUGGCUACACCUGCCCUACACGGACGUUAUAAUGUAUUGUGGACCAAUAAUUUGCGUGCUUGAGACGUACAUCUGAAGAAAAGUGAAUCAGCUGAGGUCCGAGCUGUUGUCUCUGAAAAUUCUUUUAAUCCCCAAGUCAGCCUAAAAACAGCUAAUGUUGAGGUACAACUUCAUGAAAGCUUAGGACAAACUGAUAGGAGCGAAGCACUGCUUUUGCUAUUGGGCCCUGAACUAGAAAGAUCUGAAGAAAAUCUACUUCACAGUGUCGAAGAACUAUUAGUGUCCGAGGAAUAUUUUAAUGGCCCAUCAAGAAAACAGUUUGUGGGUCAGUUUUUCACCAAAAGUGAAUCAGAUUUUGCAUUAGGAAGUGCAAUUUUUUAUUGUAAAAUACUUUUUUUUUGUUUUGAAAUAAAUUGUUCUUUAAAUUGUGA
Long non-coding RNA from Zophobas morio, 1569 nucleotides. RefSeq lists it as uncharacterized. NCBI's taxonomy places the organism in Eukaryota, Metazoa, Arthropoda, Insecta, Coleoptera, Tenebrionidae. The record is from RefSeq and is a predicted model, not a curated record. The transcript has 2 exons.